GUCCACGCCGUAAACGAUGUCAACUAGCCGUUUGGUUCCUUGAGGACUUAGUGGCGCAGCUAACGCAUUAAGUUGACCGCCUGGGGAGUACGGCCGCAAGGUUAAAACUCAAAUGAAUUGACGGGGGCCCGCACAAGCGGUGGAGCAUGUGGUUUAAUUCGAAGCAACGCGAAGAACCUUACCAGGCCUUGACAUCUACAGAACUUUCCAGAGAUGGAUUGGUGCCUUCGGGAACUGUAAGACAGGUGCUGCAUGGCUGUCGU
RNAcentral lists this ribosomal RNA (263 nucleotides) under uncultured bacterium. RNAcentral's name for it is "partial 16S ribosomal RNA". It matches the Rfam family "Bacterial small subunit ribosomal RNA", at positions 793 to 1055 of the family's 1533-position model. The record is from RNAcentral.